UGGUAGAACGCCAGUAUUAGGAGAGUGGUCAGAAAAGCUGAAUAAGAGCACAAAGCCCUGAGUUUGGUACACACACACACACACACACACACACACACACACACACACACACUUGCUGUCUCAUUAACAAUGUAUUACACAUGUUCUUUCAGUGAAUUGAACACGGUACCAAGCCGUGAGCUCUAUUACGCAAGAAAUUUAUUCCGUCUUUUUCUAGUGACAUCUGCAGAGAGGUCAUUAUAGUUACUACAGGCCCUUUCCUAGCCACAUUUCUAGGCUUAAAUUGGAAAUUUUCUUACACUAUUUAAAAUUUGGCAAGUAAAACAGUUCAUAAUUAGCACAACAUGCUGCUUCUGGUAAGGCACAGUUCAUAAUUACUUAAACCACAGAGAUUUUUUAGUUUAAUGGCUAAGAACUUGCGCUUUGAAGCCAGUCUAAAAGGCACAUCAUAAUAACCUUCCUAAGCCUCAGUUUCCCCAAUGCAAAACAGGGAUAAUAAUAGUAACUACCUCAGGGUUGUUGUAAGGGUUAAAUGAUAGUGUUUUUAAUAUGCUUAGCUCAAGUGCCUGGCACACAAUGAGCACUCCAUAAAUGUUAACUACUGUUAUGAAUACAUAAUCCAGGACUGCAAUAGCAUCAUUCCUUAUGGUUUUGUUUUGUUUUGAAGAAAAACAGAUAAAUUAGCCCCACUCCACAUCAGAAUUCCCAGUGGAGUGAAGUCUCAGUCAUUGUGUUGUCCAAGAAUCUCUUCAGGUGUUUCAAACUCCCAUCACUGAACAUUGUCAGUGCCCUUUGCUUUAUAGUCUAAGAAACUAGAGAAGAGGGUUAGUUACUUGUCAAUGAUCUCAAAAUAGUAGCAGACUCAAGGAUAGUAUUCAGUCUCCUGACUUUUGGUUACGAUCUUUCUACCAUAUCUUCUAUCUUGUGAGACACUGCUAAGAAGUGACUCUUGUUAAAGAGACAAUCAGCCCUCAGUGGUGCACAUUCUGUAAAGCACAUAUGCUCCCUGGCAUACUCUGACCUUAGGGGCUUAAAUGUUGAGUAAUGGUAACAUUAUCAAUGCAAACAACCAGCAAACCUAGUGACUUAAUGAUUAUCUGAGCUUUUUCUCUUAGCCCUCCACAGCAACAGCAAUCUGCACAAUGGUCUUAAAGAAUAUCAAGUACCAGCUUAGAUUUAAAUGAAAAAGUUCAGUAUCUUAGUGACUAUUAAGAUAAUAUAUAUAAAAGCACUUUGAGAAAGUAUCAAAUGUAAUAUAAUAUAAAAUUGUAUAACAUUUGAUUAGAUGCUGAUUGACUUAAAGGCUCUCAUGUGUUGGGGACAUGCAGAAUAUAUAAAGAAUCACCUAUAAUUUAUUUCAUUUGUAAAUAUGAAAGUGCUAUUAAUAUGUGCAAGUAUAGCAAAUGUUUUACUGAAGUUACAGCUCCAAGCUGAAUAACCUCAAAAUAUUUGGAACCAAUAUAUUGGUUUAAUUCUUACCUUUAAAAGUAGUAUAAAUGAUGUCACACACUUGUAAUUACAGCACUUGGGAGGUUCAGGCAAGUGGAUCAUAAAUUUGAGGCCAGCAUGUGCUACAGAGAAAGACCAUGUAUUU
Perognathus longimembris pacificus (Pacific pocket mouse) is the source of this 1594-nucleotide long non-coding RNA. RefSeq lists it as uncharacterized. The transcript is spliced from 2 exons. NCBI's taxonomy places the organism in Eukaryota, Metazoa, Chordata, Mammalia, Rodentia, Heteromyidae. The record is from RefSeq and is a predicted model, not a curated record.